AUUGAACGCUGGCGGAAUGCUUUACACAUGCAAGUCGAGCGGCAGCACGGACUUCGGUCCGGUGGCGAGUGGCGAACGGGUGAGUAAUGUAUCGGAACGUGCCCAGUCGUGGGGGAUAACGUAGUGAAAAUUACGCUAAUACCGCAUACGAUCUAUGGAUGAAAGCGGGGGAUCGCAAGACCUUGCGCGAUUGGAGCGGCCGAUAUCAGAUUAGGUAGUUGGUGGGGUAAAGGCCCACCAAGCCAACGAUCUGUAGCUGGUCUGAGAGGGACGACCAGCCACACUGGAACUGAGACACGGUCCAGACUCCUACGGGAGGCAGCAGUGGGGAAUUUUGGACAAUGGGCGAAAGCCUGAUCCAGCCAUUCCGCGUGCAGGAUGAAGGCCCUCGGGUUGUAAACUGCUUUUGUACAGAACGAAAAGGUUUCUACUAAUACUAGGGGCUCAUGACGGUACUGUAAGAAUAAGCACCGGCUAACUACGUGCCAGCAGCCGCAGUAA
Molecule: ribosomal RNA, 501 nt
Filed under: uncultured bacterium
Lineage: Bacteria
Description: partial 16S ribosomal RNA
Rfam family: Bacterial small subunit ribosomal RNA
Source: RNAcentral